This 16917-nucleotide long non-coding RNA is filed under the name Prunus persica (peach). Its description in RNAcentral is "long non-coding RNA (PPER_LNC001386)". Lineage: Eukaryota; Viridiplantae; Streptophyta; Magnoliopsida; Rosales; Rosaceae. The record is from RNAcentral.
AAUUAAAGCAGGGAAGGGAAGGGAAGAGAACGAUGGGGUCAGUGAGAUCAUGGGAAGAGACGGUGAGAAAGGCAGAGAAGCUGGUGGAGGAAGCCAUGAAAGACAAUGAUGCAUCCCACGACGCAGCUCACGUCUGGAGGGUCAGAGACCUCGCUCUCUCUCUUGCCCUUGAAGAACAAGGCCUCUCCCUCCUCUCCUCCAAUUCCAACACCAUGCAAAUUGUUCGAACUAUUCAUUCCUUUAUUUAUUAUCUUCUUGAUAUCUUGUCUAAAUGAGUUUUGGAACUUAAGGACUUUUAUAACGUUUCUUAAUCGGUAAUUUUCUUUUUCGGCAGGUCGAACUUGCUGCACUUCUCCAUGAUAUAGGUCAGUGUUAAGAUCAUAACUUUGAAGCUUGUUUUUGUGUGCUUCAAUUAAAUGGAUUACAUAUGGGUGGAUAAUGGAUAUGGAGUUUUUUGGGGGAAGAUUCAUACUGCAAAACAUGCGCCCAUUCCUAAAUCUUUACUUUUGACUUCUCUUUGGCUACAUGUAACCACAUGCCUUCUUGCUUAUGUGAGCUGUACUAAUCAACUCAACUCAUAAUAAUGGUAUGCAUAUAUCUACACAAACAACCAUUUCUGCAAAAUUCUGUUCUCCAUGGUUUUCAUUUUAUGCUUCUCCUUUCAUGUUUUCAGCCUUGCUUUUAUUUUCCUGUUCUCAUCCUAUAUAACCUACUGACCAUAUUAGUCCUUGGUUGCUCAUUGCAGGUGAUUAUAAGUAUUUGAGGUUUGUAUUUUUCUCAUUCUUUCUUUUCUUUUACCUUUUUAUAUUUCCUUUUUCUCUUUUCUAUUUUCUUUUCUGGUUCUUGCAUCUAUUCAUCCUUAUGGCUAAUGUUGGAAUGUAGAGAUCCCUCAGAGGAAAAAAUUGUCGAAAACUUUCUUGACGAGGAGGGCAUAGAAGAGAGUACCAAAAUGAAGAUUUUAAAGAUCAUUAAGGGAAUGGGUAAGUUGUAAGUUGGUUGCUGCUCCUUCUCAACUUUGUUUCUUCCCUAUUCCGCUCUGCUGAUAUAAUCUUGAUUGCAUUUGUUUGAGUUUAAUGGUAUAAUCUACUUAUCAGCAUUUUGUACUGCAUCAAUGUCCACGCCAUGUCUCUUUCCCAUAUAGGAAACUGUUGUGUGUGUAAACACAUGUACUAAAAUAUGCAUCCCCUGUUUUCGCCAUGUAAUGUUUUAUACCACUUAAUAAUCAUAUGCAAUUUUGUAAUUUCAUUGUAUUUUUUUUAUUUGUUCAAUUCUGAUCUUUCUGCCAGCUCCUUUGUUCAUUCAUUUGGUUCUCUACCUGUACUUCUACUUUCCAGGUUUCAAAGAUGAGCUUGCAGGGUCUGCAAAUAAUGAUCUUCCUCCAGAAUUUGGGGUUGUACAAGAUGCUGACCGUCUCGAUGCAAUUGGUGCUAUUGGUAAUUUGUGUACUUGCUAAUCAAAUGCUUGGUUCUAAAACCAUUGGAUUUUGUCUACCUACUUUGUCUAUGUAAAAUUAAAAUUGGGAUUACUGCUGGAAAAGUAACAGUUGUGCAUAGCUGUUUGCUCUAUGCCCCGACGAUCUUUGGUGUCUUCUUAAUUGCCAAUAAUGAAAGACAGAAAAGUUUCAUGUCUUUCCACCCUCUCUCUCUCUCUCUCUCUCUGUUUGUUUGUUUGUUUUUGUUUUUCUGGCUAUGACCUUUCGCUUUGAUUUGGUCCAUAUAUUUCUUUCCUUGCCUUAUUCCAUUCCCCUUUUUUGUUUGAGGUAUCUCCAUUGUGAAGUUUGUUAAAAAAUGCUUUAGACGAUAGAACAAAUUAUGCCAUUUCACGCUGGUGCACAAUCCUAAGUAGUCUUUGGUACAGGAAUUGCUCGUUGCUUUACUUUUGGUGGAAGUAGAAACAGAGUGCUACAUGAUCCUAACAUUCAGCCACGAUCUGAUUUAUCCAAGGAAAAGUACAUGAAAAAAGAUGAGCAGACUACUGUGAAUCACUUUCACGAGAAGCUUCUUAAGCUAAAGUCAUUGAUGAAAACAAAGGUAAAUUUGUUGAAACAGAAGCAUGAUAUUACACAUUCCUCACAUGGAAUUUUCCUCAUUUGCAUCCAUGCAUCUUCGUGUCUCAUCUGUGCUUGUGCUAAAGUGCAUACAUAUAUAUAUAUAUAUGUAUCAUUUAUACAAUGAGAAUAGCUGGGUGGUAAAUCCAUCUUUUGAAUAACGAGAAAAAUUUAAAGAAUUAUCAAUUUGUGCUAUGGAGUUUGGACAUUGAUUUCAGGCUGGGCAAAAGAGAGCUGAGAGAAGGCACAAGUUCAUGGAGGAGUUUCUUGUGGAGUUCUAUGAAGAGUGGGAUGGGAGAGCUUGAAUGAGGUGAGUCUACUUAAUUUGAUUUAUCUCAGAUAAGUCAGAUGUAACUCUGUCGUACUCCAAAAUAAGGAAACAGAAUUAUAGCAUACAUGAUGCUAACGAUGUUGAAUUUUCUGAUUAUGUUUGAACUUAUUGAUUUUGCUCCUGGAGCCGGCUUCAAGAUGCGGGAUAUAAUAUUCAAAACCUGUUGCUUGAAUUUAUGCAACUGUGUUACAAAAUAUAUUUAUAGUACGAGUUUUUUCUUUGAGGGCUGUGCUAAGUAGAUGAACACCAACCAAGGGAGUGGAAAAAAAUUCAAAACAUUACAGUUCUCUUGUUGAUUGUUUGACGAAGAUUUGAUGAGUGUAGUAGGAACCGUUACUAGGAAUAAGUAAUCAAUUCGAUGAGAACCAGCUCUUCUUCAAGGAUUCUUUUCUUCAACGAGUCUAUUGGAUCAAUACAUCCUAAUGGUAUCCACGGAUUAUGAGACGGUGUAUAAUACCCGAUUUCUGUUGCUCACGGUCACCACAUCUUAUUCACCCAAUGGUACAUCAUUGGACAAACAGAAUUUGGUAAACAAAGUUGGUGAGUUUAGAAGUAGUCUUUCUUGUAUUGUCAUGAUGUGAGUUAACUUUAAGGUGAGGGUCGAGUACGGACCGAGGUAUCCUGGAAGAGGAAGCAAAAAUAUGCACCAACCUCAAACAGAGAAAAAAGCCUCACGUUCGCGGAGGGAGUUCAAAGUUUCAAACCCAACCGCAGGCUGCAGUGAAAAGAGUGUUGGUCAUGAGUUGGUCGCCAAACUAAGCACUAGUUUUUUUUAAGUCCGAGUUAACAUAUUUGGACUACUUUUAUGAAGGCUAAUAAAAACAAUUUCAAAUAACUAAAAAUGUCUUCUGACAUCGUUUAUAUUAGGUAAAUUGAAAAUACAUAAGAUAUCUAUUCAUUUUUGUAGAAAUGUCAUCUAAACUUAUUUAUCAGUUUCAAUUUGUCACUUUAAAGAAAAAUUUAGGAGAAAUGUCAUCUUAAUUUUUCAGAAUCCAUGAUUUGUCAUCUGACUUUAACACCAUCCAUUUUCAAGGGUAUCAUAGUCUUUCCAUUUUCAAGAAAAGAAAUAAAGAAAAAAUAGACCUCUCUCUCUCUUUCUCCCCCACCCCAACUCCACCGGCCCCAAAAACACAUCGCAUUGGACUCCCUCUCCUCCUCUUCUCUCCUCUCUCUCUCUCUCUCUCUCAGCAUGGAAAUAUGAAAAAUACUAAAAAGAAAAAAGAAAAAAAGAAAAAAAAGGUGGACUCUGUUUGGGUAGGUUGAGGGAAUUUGUGUGUGGAGGGUAGGUGUUUCAUGGUAGAUGGAGGAAGGCGUUAUGAAGAGGGAAUGCGUUAUGAAGAGGGAAGGGGGAAUGAAUUUCAAGGUGGGUGGGGUUGGUUGGAGCCGCUGGUGGCGCACAGGGGAUGAGGGAACGUGAGAUUUUUUUUUUCCUUUCAAUUUUAAUUGUUUAAAAGAUAUCACAAAAAAAUUAAGAAUGUUUUUUUCAUUUUUAAAAUAUCCUUAAAAAUGGAAAGACUAAAAUGCCCUUAAAAAUGAAUGGAAAAUUGAAUGGUGUUAAAAUGGGAUGAAAUCAUGGAUUUUGACAAAUUAAGGUGAUAUGUCUCUCAAAUUUUUCUUUAAAGUGAUAAAUUAAAACUGAGGUAUAAGUUCAAGAGACAUUUCUACAAAGGGUAAAUUAUUCAAAUGGUCCUCAAAUUUAUACCCGAUUUACAUUUUGGUCAUUCAAUUAAAUUAUUUGUUCAAAUGGUCCAUCAACUCUAUAUUAAUCGCUCCAUUGAUCCUCCUGUUACAUUAUGUUAAUGUUACUGUCAAAUGUAAGGGUAAAACCGUCCAUAGCCGUCCUAUGUUCUCCAAAUAAGUGAUAAAACAGUGAUACAUAGGUGAUAAAGUGGUGAUACAUAGAUGAUAAAGUGGUGAUGCAUAGGUGAUACAUAGGUCAAAAGUCUUAUUUGCCCCCACAAAUGUAGCAUGUGCUGCUCACAUGACUAAAUUUAACAGAAAAUGUAACGAUAGGACCAAAGCACCAAUUAAUAAAGAGUUGGUGGACCAUUUGAACGAAUAAUUUAGUUUAGGGACCAAAAUGUAAAACAUGUACAAAUUUGAGGACAAUUUGAGUAAUUUAUCCUUUCUACAAAAAUCACUUUUUGUAAUUCAUGUAUUGGACAUUUAGCAAUAAAUAAAGGUAAUGGAAAUUUUAUUUAAGGAGCUGAUUUUCUCACUCCCUUUUACUUCACUUACACUUUUUUUUGCUUAUUAAAAGCUUUGAAUAAAUAUAUUUUUUUUGUUCUUUCUCUUUUCUAUUCUACCAUUAUCUUACAUUAAGGUUUUAAUAACUGAAAUUAAGAAAAGUUAACAACAAAAAAACCAAAAAACAAAAAAAUUGGAAAUUGAUAGAAAUGUAAGUAUUUGUACACCAAUUUUUUUAUUUUUUAUUUACCAAAUAUGUGAGUACCAUUUAUCUUUGUUGUAGUUAAUAGAUAAUAAAUUUUUUGGGCUAACAUGUUUACAGGUAGAAUGACAGGACCCGCCCCGGAUUUCCCUUUGGAAUCCGUGACGAACCUUGCUUCCCAUCCGACAUCUAUCCGAUGCCGAACCCACUUUACUAAAAAGCCAUGUAACCUUAACUUAAACGAAUAAACAAAUCGAUUUCUGCCGAAAUUUCGGUAGAAUCUCCCUUUGAAAAGUACACUUUACCAAAAAAUUUCCACUUGUUAAAAACAAUAUAAAAUAACUUCCCAAUGGGCAGCACACACAAUACUAAGCAUAUAGUUUACAGGAUAGGUCUCGGGCCUUAACUUCAACCCUACGUGGGCAUUAACAUAGCAAUAUGAGGAUUUACGUUUACAACCCGGGGAACAAUAAAAGUAUAAAAAGAUAAAGAAGAAGUUCUUAUAGAGUGGACAGCUGCAAUGCCUCAAUAUGGUGGUCUCGACCUCGGAUAUCUAGAAUCUGGGGGAGCAAAACAUAAAAUGUGAGUGGACGAAAACAAAGUAUUUAACAUAAUUUAUAUGCAACAUUCAUAACCCAUCCGUUUUAGAAAAUAAUGCCAAGUACAAAAAUCCUUUUUAUGCAUACAUAUAAACCAACCGAUACUUGAAAAUUAUUCUAUUAAAUUUGUACCUUAGCAUACCAUAAUGAAAACCAUAAUACUACCUAAAUUUCUUGAAAAACAUUGUCUACUCAAGCAUUUAAUCCUUAUUAUAAAAUUGUAUACCAAUCCACCCCAAAUAUUCCGUUAUUACAUAAUAUAAUCAAUAUAAUAAAAAAUUCUGCUUUUCCAGCAACCAUACCCUUUCUUAGACAUAUGCUGACAAACAUAUAAAAUUUCAAGUAUUUCAAAAUAAUCUAACUCAAAUCCAAACUUAUUUUCAAAUGCUCAUACCUGUGCAGAGUAGUCUCAAUGCACAUGCUCAGAAAACUCAACUUGGAAAUAAGCCCACAAAUGUACCCACACAAAUACCCAUAUACAUAUAUAUAUAUAUAUAUACACAGUCAAAAUUUACACAUCAUCAUUACGUACCAGGGAAAACAAUUCAACUGGGAGAUUGUUUGACUAGACCACAAGCAAGAAUCCUCAAUACUCAUGUAGCUAGAGAUGAGUCAUUCAGCAGAGGACUGUAGCUCCUAAACACGCACAGUAGAAUCCUUAAUACGUGUGCGGCUGAAAUAAGUCUUAUGCGUGCAGACUGCCCGUCAAGGGCCUACUGCACACCCCGCCAAGGGUACCCAGGUUCUAACAUAUCCAAAUAUCCAUCGUUUCCCAGUAUCAAUAUCCAAGGGGAGGUACAUAUAAUGGCGUGUCAUCACCAAAAUCCGAAAAUCUACUUUCAUAAACUAAUAUAUAUAUAUAUAUAUAUAUAUAUAAAAGAAUACACUCUCCCUUAUGAAAUCCACAAAAGUCAUAUUCAUGAAAAAGUCAAAUUCGUAAACUCAUCCGAAAAUCGUAUAACCCAAAACAUAAUAUUCAAAAAACAAAAUUCAUAACUUAAUGGGUAUGACCAAUUUCGAAAAUUCCCAUAAGACAUUGAUAAAAUAUCCAAAAUCCAUAUAACCAAAUUCCAUGUUCAAAUUUCAUAAACAAACGCAAUAUCACCCAAUUCAUAUACUUUAAAAUAAUAAAAAUAAUGAUACCUGAAAAGCCCAUAUCAUAUUCCGAUAAAAUCAUAAUUCAAAACCCACAAUCCAUAUACUUUACAACUAACAAUAAGUUCUAGUAAACCCAUAAGAUACUAUAAAGUCAUAGUUAAAACAUAUAUCAAAUCCCAUAAUCCCAAUAAACUAAGUUCUAAAUCAAAUCUCAUUUAUGCAUGCAAUUCUAUAUUGGAAAAAUAAUGCUCAUUUAAAACAAUGUCCACUCAAAACAAGUCCAACGUUGCUCAAUCCUGAUAGGGCUCUUCCUCUGGAGUACGUAAAGUGUGGGUACCUAUUUGAGAGAAUAAACAGACUUAAUUAAAAAACUUACCAAACAACGAACUUUAACUCAGAACUCUAGUUCUCGGGUCUUGAAGUGUGCACAACCUUUAAGAAAGUUUAUAGGGUCAUUCUAGUACUUCUCUAAGGAUGAGACAAUCCUGGAAGACUCAUGGUCAACUGAGCGGUCAAACUUCUCAUACUGGACAAUUGGGCCCCUGGGGCCCACGAUCUCCGAUUUCUAAUCAAAAAGUUCAUAUAGGUCCAACAAAGUCUACUAAACAAGUCCCGAAGGUUUGAUCUCAAUCGAGCGGUCAUAUCUAAGCCAAUCGACGAUCGGACGACGAUCGUUUCGUCUAAACUUAGAAUCAUUGAUUCGGAGUAUCUGGGACUCCGAUUUUCAAUUUGCAAGUUCCUACACAAUUCUAGAGGUACCGAGAACACCAUAUUUGAAAUUAGAACCGAUCAAACGUUUCGAACCUAUCGAACCCAAAUAUCACAUAAUAAGCACCAUAUCCAUUCGAUAGUCAAACAAUAACCAAAUUCAAAUCCAAGCACAUCGUCGUGCUUAGGACAUCAUGAGGAACAUUCAAGAACACAAUAGGCUGCCGCCACCCUCUAUCGAUAGCAUGUGGGUGUUUCGAGAAAUUUUCACCUCACAAUACCUAUAUCAAAACAUUCAUACUAACAAGGGGAGCAUUUUUUGUCUUGGACCCCUACCAAAAAGUUGCCGGAACUAGGUGAAUCGAAGCCAAAUCUGUGAGGGUUUUGGCCGAAACUUCUCUGCUUCGCAACGGCAGCAAAAACCACUAAUGGUGUCUCGCGACCUAGGAGAAAACAAGAGGGAGGAGAUAGCUACUUGUUCCAAGUGGUGGCGCGACCUAAAGUGGCCGAUGAUGAUGGAAGUUUAUGCCGAAAUUUCUUGUCAAUCCAGUCUGAAAUCCUUGAGGUUUUGAGUUGGAAAAAUGGGUGGGUUUGACAGAGAACGUCGAUACGAAACUUUUGUAACCAAUUUCGCCUGAAACGGACGCCGGAUGAUGAUGAAACCUCCAGUCAAAGUUCUANNNNNNNNNNNNNNNNNNNNNNNNNNNNNNNNNNNNNNNNNNNNNNNNNNNNNNNNNNNNNNNNNNNNNNNNNNNNNNNNNNNNNNNNNNNNNNNNNNNNAACUGGAAUUUUCAUUCUAAGAUUCAUGUCUCUCUGUGUGUUUUAACACACAGGCGUGACUGAGACCGAGUGUGUCAAAGUGUUAAUAAUAAACCCACGAGCGUCACAGAUCCACCGAGCGAGUCCCUCACUCACACCCACACACACACACAGAGAGAGAGAGAGAGAGAGAGAGAGAGAGAGAGAGAGAGAGAGAGAGAGCUGUCUGGUUAUAAAAAUUUGUCUUUAGAAAAAUUACAGUUGUGCCACUGCACUUCCAUAGACCACAACUUCGUCCUUUUAACUCGGAAUUGAACCUGCCAAUUGUAUACGAAUUCGUAUCGUCGAGCUCUAUGCAACGAUACAUCUUAUUUCCCCAAAUUCCUUCCCGAACAAAAAGUAACCAAAGUAACCCUACCCUAAGGGCAAAAUUGUAAUUUCAUAAAUAAAUAAAUAUAAAUAAAAAUGAUUAAAUUGGGUCGGGGUGUUACAUAAAAGAACCAGAGAAUGCAACUAACCAAACUGUGUUUAGGAGCACAGAUAUGCAGAGAGCAAUGUAUGCAUAAUAGUCUCAGAUUUUUAUUCUUUCACAAUAUUAGUAAGUGAUUGUACAUGUCUUCUUAUUAAAGGAAAUUGUAGGGUAAGAGUAAAAUAGUAAAGAGAAAGAAGUAAGGGCAUGUUUACAUAUCAAUAAUGGAGAAAGUAAGGAAUUAGAGAAUUUAGAAAUCGGGGAACUACUGAAUCGGUAUAGGAAGAAUUAUUCUCAUUAAGCUGUUUACUAAACAUAUGGAAUUAGCAAAGGAAUAGGGUUAAUUCCCAUUGUUAUCGUUUACUAACUUUCAUGAAUUAGAAUCCAAAUUAAUUUGAUUACUAUAAUGCCCUGCACAUUUUCACAACACAUAUAUAAUUCUCAAAUUGGCUAAGGAGACCAAACUAAUCCUGCAGCAAACCAGUAAGGCAGUGUAAACAUGAGGAAUCAAUAUGCUGAAUAAGAUGAACAACAGGUGCCCAGUUCAAUGUUAAUGUUAAUAACACCUUUGUCCAAAGCUAAUUUCAAACGAAAACAUAAACUCCAAUAAAUAUAUAUCUUUCACCUACGUAGCUAGUAAACAAUCAAAUAAUAAUAACCUGCAUAAUCUUCAUACAAUUAAAUACAUGAAAAUUCUUGGAACUGAGUUUUUAUUUUAAUUUUUAGGGUUGCAGCGUCUUGGAACUUCUUGGCUUGAGUUUUAUUUAUUUAUUUAUUUAUAUUUAGGGUUUGGGGUGUUUUGGAAUUAUAGUAAAGUGGUAAUGGUAUUUUUGAAAGUUAUUAAGAGAAAAUAGGAAUGAGAAUCGUAUCGACUACUCCCCAUAGUUGAUCUGAUACUUAGUUCUGAGGGGAUGUGAUUACGAAUUUUGAGAUGGGGUCCACUUAUUUUUUCAUUCAUGAUUGCAAGUAAACACAGAGGAAGUCAGGAAUGAAAAUCAUUCCCUUUUAUCUCAUACCCAUUACUGAUAUGUAAACAUGCCCUAAGAGUAGAAUAGUAAAGAGAAAGAAUAAAAAAUAACAAAAUUGAUUAAAAAGUAUUUUAAAAAACAAAAAUAAUUGUAAACGAAGUAAAGGAGAGUGGGAAAAUCACCUCCCUUUAUUUAUUGUAUUUGUGUUUGUAUUUAUUUAAUAAACUAUCAAUUGAGAAAAGAAAAUUAAAAGAAGCGAGAGACGAGACAACGAUUGAGGGAGACGAGAGGUGUUUGAAUUGAAGCCCGGGGGACGGAUGAAUUUAUACACAAGUAUUCCUUGUACAAUAAGAAAUCCUACUAUCUAAGAAUACCAUCUAAGGUAAGGAUUGGAUAUGGAUCAAUUACAGAUUUCUUUCCUAUCUAAAUUGUAUUUACUUUCUAACACUCCCCCUCAAGUUGGAGAGUGAAUGUCAAGAACAUUCAACUUGCGUAACAUAAUAGAAAACUUCUCCUUGCCCAAAGGUUUUGUAAAGGUAUCAGCUAGUUGUUGCGGAGAGUUCACAUAGCGUGUUCUCUCAUGAAAGACUGGGUUUGCCGCUAUAUUUAGUAUUGCUUGAUUAUCACAAUACAUACGAGAUGCUCCAGAAGAUGGCAAGUGUAAAUCUUGCAACAAAAAACGUAACCAAGUAAUCUCACAACAGGUGCCAGCCAUUGCCCUAUAUUUGGCUUCAGCUGAGGAUAAUGAAACUGUCUUUUAUGAUUUUUUUUGCCAGGAAAUUAAUGAAUUACCCAAGAAUACACAAUGUCCGGUAGUUGAACGACGGGUUAUAGUAUAACCAGCCCAAUCUGAAUCAUAAUAAGCAAUUAAAUCUAACUUAUUGUCAUACUGAAAAGCAAACCUUCACUCGGAGUAGACUUGAGGUACCGAACAACCUAGAGAGCGGCAUUCAUGUGAGAUAGUCGCGGCAUGAAAUGGCACAGGACAUGUAUGGAAUAGGUGAUGUCCGGUCGUGUAAUAGUCAGAUAAAGCAAUCGUUCCACCAAUCUUCUAUAUUUUUCAGGAUCUUUGAGAAUUCACCUUUGUCAGAAAGCUUGGCUUCCUCCAUUGGAAAAUCAAUUGAGCGAGCACCUAAGAACCAAUAAUCCUUAAGUAUCUCAAGUGCACACUUUCGUUGUGAAACAUAAAUGCCUCUCUUGGAAUGAGAGACUUCAAUGCCCAAAAAAUAUUUCAAAUUGCCUAAGUCCUUGAUGUGGAAACGAGUGUGUAAGAAACUUUUGAGAGAAUUAACUGCAUCAAUAGCGUUGCCUGUAAUCAGAAUAUUAUCAACAUAAAUUAACAAUGCUGUAAAAGACUUGCCAUCUUUGUGGGUGAAGAGAGAAUAAUUGGCCUUUGACUGAAUAAAACCAGCAGCAAGAAUGGCUUCAGUAAACUUGGCAAACAAUUGUCGAGAGGCCUGUUUGAGUCCAUAAAGAGAUUUGUGGAGGUGACACACUAGAUUCUCCCCAUGUUGCCGAAGACCAGGAGGAUGAAACAUAUAUAUAUUUCUUCAUGUGAAUCACCAUGGAGAAAAACAUUAUGGACAUCGAGUUGGUGGAUAACCCAUUGCUGAUUGGCGGUGACAGCUAAGAGACAACGACGGUGAUCAUCUUAGCAGUGGGAGAAAAAGUUUCGUGAUAAUCUAGGCCCUCUGUUUGAGUGAAUCCUUUGGCAACAAAGCUAGCUUUAUAGCAUUCGAUAGAACCAUCAGCACAAUGUUUGAUCUUGUACACCCAUUUGCAGUCAAUUGGAAAUUUGCCGGAGGGCAAAGCAGUAAGUGUCCAAGUGUGAUUGGCAGCAUUCAAAGCACAAGUAAACUAUAAUAAUCACUUAUCAUUGACAAUGAGUUGACAAGAUGAAAACUUAUAUUAAUAUUGGGCACGAAGCUUGUGCCAAAAUAUCAAUAGGCACAAAAUAAAUUCGUCGAGCAUCUCCAACCGAUAUAUCAAAUUGUCACAUGGACAUGAAAUAUCAAAAAUUGAAGGUUAAAGUUGCUCUAAUCGAGUAGUCAAAUCCUACAUGAAUUUGAAGGCUGGAAGAGAUAUGUCAAAAAUAACAUACCAAAACACUUGAUGUCAAAUAUUAUUUUAAUAUUUUUUCAAUCUAAGCCCCAAUAUCAUUUACUCUCUUUAAAACUUUAUGCGUUUAUGAGCAUCAUUUGUUUUUAAAAAUAUAAUAAAAUAAUAUGAUAUUUGGUAUUUCGAGUGGAGUUAAAUUUUUUUCAAAGUAUCAAAAGACACAUUUAUUGCAAUACGUUGGAUCUGGAACAUCCUCGCUUAUACACGCACUUCAUCAACAUCUAUAUAUAUUCAUACAACACAAAGCAAAUUCCAUGAAACAAAAACAAAAAAGACAUGGAGAAGACAAACACGAUUGUCUGCCAAGUAUAUUGGCGAUCAUUUGGUCAUGGAAGGAGGCACCUGUGGAGCAGCAGUUGGUGGCCCAGUCCAACCUACAUCAUAAAAACAAAUACAAAAUAAAAAUUGAAGUGCCGCCGAAUGAUGCAAGCAAUGAUAAAUUUAAGGUCAUAACUAUACGAUGACGACAUAUAUGUGUCGUGUAGGAUUAGUUUAAAACCUUUGGAGGGGUUGAAGCCUCUAAAUUUGAGCUCAGCAUAUUCUUGGCUGAGGGCACACGGUUCACAUAAACAAUGAACACAACAAUCCCAACAAGGCUCCUCCGGCAGACCAAAUUUUUUGCGCAUUAUCCCUCUAUACUUGCUUGAGUAGGUCCUCUGCAAAUGAUACGUCGAGAACAACACGUACAGUAUGCAAUGGCAAAGGCAAGCUAAAUUUAAAAAAUCCAACCGCCAAUUAGUAACACACCAUUGACCUAAUUAUCUUAAUAAUUAAAGGCAGCACAGUUGGUGCAAAUAGAAAUUAAUUUUUCCAUAUACAACAGUCUAUGUAUCGUAACAGUUCUCUCACACUAAGUGAUUACGUGAUUAUUACUAGAGAACUAAAUGCGAGAGACCAAUUAUAUAUACAACCACUUUGAGGGAAAAAUAAUAAAUUCGCCAUGUUUAUAUAUUUGGGAAAUCUUUUUGGUUUUGUGACACUUACAUUUUUGUCCUUCGUCGACAACUUCUGCAAUUUGGCCGAAGGUGAUGCAUGGGAGAAAACAUGCGAUGCAACCUACACCACACGAUCAAUUUCACCAAUUGGGUGGGUUGAGUAUAUAUAUAUAUAUAGGUCAAUGAUUUCCCCACUUCCUUUUUUCUCCACUUACACUUCUUUUUGCUUUUUAAUACUUUGUAAUCAAUUUUUGUUCUUUUUCUUUUCUAUUCUAUCCUUACCCUACAUUAAUUUAUUUUUUACUUCACUUCUAUAUUAUUUCUUUUUCUUUAUACUUGAUUUUCUAACUUACACUCUAAUUUCAGUAUUAAAGGGAAAAAAAACUUAAUUUCUUACUAGAUUAAAGAAAAAAAAAAUACUGAAAAUGGAGUGAAAGUUGGAAAAUUAAAUAUAAAGGAAAAAAACUAAUAUAAAAGUGAAGUAAAAAGAAAUUAAUAUAGGGUAAGGGUAUAAUAGGAAAGAGAAAGAACAAAAUUGAUUAAAAAGUAUUUAAAAGCAAAAGGGAGUGUAAAUGGAGAAAAGGGGAGUGAGUAAAUCAUAUCCUUAUAUAUAUUUAUAAAAGAAGUGCUAAAAAAUGUUACUUGGUGUAAAUUUAACUUGUCAGGUAACUAUAAUAGACAAAGUGAAUUUUGCCCGGAGAGAGAAUUUAUUAUCUUACAUGUGCAGAUAUCUCCUCCACAGUUAAAAGACACGCGGACCACUGCUUAGGUUCAAGAUCAUAAUCUUUCAUCAUGGUGUUCUUUUAUGAGAUCAGAAUUUGAACCAAAAAAAAAAAAUGAUUGCUGGAAAUGGAAAAGUUUCAGUAAUGUAAGAGGAGAUGUAAGAGAGAAAAAGACUGUCGGAGAAUGAAAUGUUUCGAAAAAUGUAGAAGUGCCUUGCUUGAAUCAAUACAGUGGUUUAUAUCCACUUACAAAGAAUCAACAUUUACUGGGUAAGACCCUAUAGACUAGACUAAACCCUAGAGGACAAAGGUGGUCGUUAUCCACUUAUAGCUGUAUGAAUUUCCUUUGUUUUGUAUGAAUCUCCUUCGUUUUGUCUGAAUCUACUUCGUCUUGUCUUAAUCUCAUUCGUCUUCAAAUGAAAUUUAGAGAAGAAUUUUCCAAUAGUCUACUACAGCGUGCACUUGGUCCAUGUUGUAAAAAACGUGCAAUAGACGGUGUAAAAAAGGUGCAAUAGACGUUGUCAAAAACGUGCCAUAGACGCGCAUUGUUAAUGGCAUAUUGUCAAAGCUAUUUUUCUUGUAGUGUAGUGUCUUUUCUUAGGCCAUUUCUAGUCAUGGGUCAUAGGCCAAAUAGGCCAUGUUUGGUACGUCUUACUGGACUGGACUGAUACAUAUAUAUAUAUAUUGUUUUUUUAAAUAUUGUUUUACUUGGUUCCUAAAAAACCUAGAAUUAUAUAGAGUGAGUUUAGCUCCUUUAGCAAUGUUUCGACCAACUAAGAUUAAUCUUGAGAAGCCAAAAAAAUAAAUAUCAUAAUUUUAUUCUUCAUUAAAAAAAAACAUAAUUUUAUUUGUUUUCUUCUUAUUAUUUUUUAAAAUCUUUUUUUUGGCCAGAUAUUGUUAUAAAUCAUUAUUGUUUUAGGUCAAAAACCUCAAUUAAAUUUAAAUAUUACAAGAAUUAUUUUUUAGUCCGACGCAAUACCAAACAUAGGUCUUCAUUAUUUUUACAAUCCAGCUUCUUAGUCCAACACAGCACCAAACGUAGGCCAGUACUUAAUCCAGCUUAGUCCAAUCCGAACUAAUCCAAGACAGUCUCAGAAUUUAGUCUAGUCCAUAACAGUUUGCCGUACCAAACGACCCCAUAUAUUCUUAAAAUAAUGCAAAACCCAUCUUUAGCCAUGGGCUAAAAAAUAAAUUGAGCUAAAUUUGGAGGGCCACACUUGGCCCUUUAACCCUCCAACUAGGCCAAUUGUAGCCUAGCUUUGGCCUAGGUCAAAUUUUUUUGUGGGCCUUAUGUAUGUGCUUUUCAAGAAAAGAAAUUAUCAAGUGUGGAUAAGAGCAUGAAACAUCUCGUGCAAAUGCAUAUCCAACAACCAAUAUUAAAGGCACGUUGAUGUCAUCGAUGACAUCAACUAGCUGUUAAGAAUUUUCAAAAUUUUAAAUAACCUUUUUAAAUGUUGUCAACGUAUACGUGUCAUGUAUGGAAUAUUGUCUCUAAAUAGUAGCUUAAUUAAAUUAAACAAUACAUAAUUGUGGAAUGUAUGAGUAUUAUACCAUAGAUUUUCUCAAAAUAAUAAAAUAUGAAGGACCCUAAAAUAUAGCCCUGCAUGGUUGAAGAUGAAAAAAUUUAAUCAUGUACUAUUCUUUAAAACAUUAAUAUUUUGAAAGGCUAAAUUUAUAGCCUUUGACUACAUUUAGCCCUAUGAAUGAAGACGGCCUUAAAGGGUUUCCUGUUGGGUUAACAUCAUUAAUAAUAACAUGGUGCUUGCUCUACCAAGAGAAGAAGCAUAUGCCUAUAAUAUUGCGUUCCAGUUGUAAGUGGAUAAGGACCACCUUUGUAUUCUAGGGUUUCGUCUUGUUUAGGGUCUUACCCAGUAUAUAUUGAUUGUUUGUAAGUAUAUAUAAAUCAUUUGAUUCUUUGUAAGUGGAUAUAAACCACUAUUUGCAUUGCGAAAUUUUCUCUAAAUUUCAUUUUGACAACGCGUAUUAAAGGAACAUUGUUAUACGUAGUGUACUACAAUGUGCACUUGGUACAUGUUACAAUUAACUUCCUAUAAUAUAUGACAAAGAAUCAAAUUAUUUAUAUCCACUGACAAGGAAUCAAUAUAUACUGGGUAAGACCUUAAAUUAGACGAAACCUUAAGACCUUAGAUUAGACGAAACCCUAGAAGACAAAGGUGGUCCUUAUCCACUUACAGCUGGAACGCACUAUUAUAUUCUAAAAUAUGAGACUUAUGAGAGAAUAUUUGUUUGUAGGAAUUUUCUGUGUAUUCCUCUCCUUGUAGGAGGUUAUAUUCAUAAUACAACGGAGCCUUAGUGGCCAAGUAAAUAAUGAAUUUCUAUUUUUAUUUAUGAUAGAAAAUCAAAAAUUAAAGUAAAUCAAAUACAAUUAUAAUGAGAAUCUUUGGUGUGUGAGCAAAGAAAGUCAAUGAUCAGACCAACAUUAUAUGCAUAUGCUUCUUGUCUUGGUAGAGUAAGACACUGGCAAAGUCCAUAUAGAUAACAAAAAUGAAUAAAUGAAUAAAUGAAUAAAUAUAUAUAUAUAUAUAUAUAUAUAUAUCAGCAUGUUCUUGGCAGAGGGUACACGACGUCAAAGUCUCUAAAUUUUGUCAGAAUUAUAUUAUGCUUAACAUUAUAAUUUGAUUAGUGUUUUUGAUAUUGGGUGUUUACAUGUUGUUAAUUAUCAUUAUAUUAUUUUAUUAAUAUUGAUAUGUUCAUAUGUUUUUUACGAUGGUUGGAAUUUUUGGGUUAAUAAAGAAAUUAUGAAAAAGAAGGUUAUGGGAAGGAUCGUUUGUGUAGUUGAGUCUGACCAUUGUAGGGACCAAGUUCAGGUGAGCUCGUGUGCACAAUAGAUUAGGAUAUUGGCGGUAUAAUUGUUGAUUGGGUGAUUUGGGCUUGAGAUCAAUGGCUGAGACAAUAUGACUAACAAAAGGGGAAUUAUGAGAUGAUUGAGAUGAGGUGUUAGUUUAUAUAAUGGGGCAUUCAAAAUUACAGUGGUAAAAUGCAUGGUAUAGGACAUGCAAAUUUGCUUUUCCUAUUAUAUAGAUUAACGAAUUAGGUAGAAUCGAAGCUCAUUCAUGCAUUAUUACGCUAUUAAAAAAUUGCUCUAUGGACACAUAAGAAGGAUCAUGCCUUUUUCAACAUCAUUGAGCACAAAAAUUGCUCAAAUGUGUGUUUUUAUACAAAAGACACUCUAAAUAUGUGUCUAAGAGCAUUUCCAAUGUAGCUAUCAAAUGCAAAAUGUUAAAUUUAAAUUUGAUGGCUCUUGUCAAGACCACAUCAAGUAACCACUAGCUGUUUGGGCCUGACUAUGCGAACCCGAACCUGGAUGGAUCGGAUCCUAAGGGCAAGGAGGAGUAGGAGAAGCAGAGCAAGCCCUUCACUAUAAAAAAAAAAUACUGCUAGUGUUCCAGUCAAAUCUUCCAUUCCAAUCCAAAUACCAAGUAUCGAUUAGUGUCUGCUCUCUAGAGAGAGAGAAGAAAUUAAAGCAGGGAAGGGAAGGGAAGAGAACGAUGGGGUCAGUGGGAUCAUGGGAAGAGACGGUGAGAAAGGCAGAGAAGCUGGUAGAGGAAGCCAUGAAAGACAAUGAUGCAUCCCGCGACGCAGCUCACGUCUGGAGGGUCAGAGACCUCGCUCUCUCUCUUGCCCGUGAAGAACAAGGCCUCUCCCUCCUCUCCUCCAAUUCCAACACCAUGCAAAUUGUUCGAACUAUUCAUUCCUUUAUUUGUUAUCUUCUCGAUAUCUUGUCUAAAUGAGUUUUGGAACUGAAGGACUUUU